AGCAGCCGCGGUAAUUCCAGCUCCAAUAGCGUAUAUUAAAGUUGUUGCAGUUAAAAAGCUCGUAGUUGAAUUUCGGGAUCAGCGCGUCGGUCGUGCCUCCGGUAUGCACUGGCGCCGCUGGUUUCUCCCUUCUGAGGAACCGUGAUGUCAUUAAUUUGGUGUUGCGGGAAAUCAGGACUGUUACUUUGAAAAAUUAGAGUGUUUAAAGCGGGCACGCGCUUGAAUACAUUAGCAUGGAAUAACGAAAUAGGACGUUCGAUCUUAUUUUGUUGGUUUCUAGGAUUGACGUAAUGAUUAAUAGGGAUAGUUGGGGGCAUUAGUAUUCAAUUGUCAGAGGCGAAAUUCUUGGAUUUAUUGAAGACUAACUACUGCGAAAGCAUUUGCCAAGGAUGUUUUCAUUAAUCAAGAACGAAAGUUAGGGGAUCGAAGACGAUCAGAUACCGUCGUAGUCUUAACCAUAAACUAUGCCGACUAGGGAUCGGAUGAUGUUAAUUUUUUAAUGACUCAUUCGGCGCCUUAA
RNAcentral lists this ribosomal RNA (520 nucleotides) under uncultured Glomeromycotina. RNAcentral's name for it is "SSU rRNA". It matches the Rfam family "Eukaryotic small subunit ribosomal RNA", at positions 569 to 1091 of the family's 1831-position model. Lineage: Eukaryota; Fungi; Glomeromycota. The record is from RNAcentral.